Molecule: long non-coding RNA, 1329 nt
Organism: Puntigrus tetrazona (Sumatra barb)
Lineage: Eukaryota; Metazoa; Chordata; Actinopteri; Cypriniformes; Cyprinidae
Exons: 3
Source: RefSeq, a predicted model, not a curated record
CUGAAUGAGGCGUUUUCCUCCGUGGUGAAGACAACGGAUCCUUUCUUUCAGAAACCUGAACAUGGAGGAGAGAGUUCACAUACGAACAGCCUGUGCUAAGAGAAGAAUGUCAGAAGGCAAUGAGGUCUCCAUAAAGACAUCUAACAACUCUCAGCUUUCGACUCAAGACCAACAGAACAGGGUCAGAGACUGCAGGCUUGUUCAGUUGCUGAGAAACAGCCAGCUAGGUUGUUGGCUGAGUAAAACCUGCGCAGACAGGCUCGUACUUCAGCUUCUGAGAGCCGGCCUCUUCCUGCUGUUUAUCUGGCUUCUGGUGGAACUGCACGCGGUCCUGCCCUGCCUCUUUCUCUGUGGCUGCCUUUUUGAUGGCCCACUCAGGAAGGCAGCGAAUGCAGCCUGGACCCGGAUUACAGCUCCUGUAAAGGCUAAAGUGCUGAAGACAACGCCACACACUGAUGGAUGCUCAGAGGGAACAAGGUCACAACCUCGCGACCAAACUACACUAAAAUCCAAUAAAAUGCACCAUUGAAGUUGAAGUUGGGCACUAUAAAAUGACUACAUCACAGGGCAUUUCUUCACAGCAGGAAGUACAUCAGGCAAUACCCAUCAAAAUGACUGUAUUUGGUGAAAUUCUGAAGAGCAAUUGUAAAUGCUUUUUGUCUUAAAAACUUUCAUUUAAAUGAAUUUAAAUCAAAUUUGAACUGAUAUUGUGCACUGUUCACUUUCAAAUUAAGGAAAAAAAUUAUUAUUCGACUGAAGUGCCCUAGGUGCAUGUCCUACUGUGUCUUUAAAACACAAAGCUCAGAUUACUAAGGACAGACUUCGUAUGCAACAAAAACAGCAGCACAGGCAAAAUUUUGAUUUGAUCGAUUAAAGAAAUUUAUUCAGGUCAUUAAACUAAUCAAUCUUGUGAAAUUUCAGAUGGCACUUUAAUUUACUGAACACAAUUUUAGCUCAUUGUCUGCAUCGAAAUAGAGCCUGACCCUGCAUGGCUGAGGUAGCCAUGACAACAGACCACAGAUUGUCCUCGACCACACUUUCCAGCACUGGCGAGUUACAGAGCUGCUUAUUUUAAUGAAACACUUGGAGAAAUUGUGCUGAAUAGCAUCCAGAACUAUGGUCUCCGCCACUUUAAUUAGCCUGGUAUUUAUACGGUUGCUAAGGGACACAAACACAGAGGAGGCAAGAAGAGUUUUCUUCCAUUUAUUAAGUUUGAAGCCCACUUAUACAAAACUCAUGAACUGCUUUUAGAACACUUUGAUAGCUUUCCCAACAUUUGGAAAUAAAUUAAGGAGAAGAAGUAAACAGCAACACACAAAAAAAAAAAAA